UGGCGGCGUAGCUCAGUCGGUAGAGCGGGGGACUCAUAAGCCCUGUGUCACUAGUUCGAUCCUAGUCGCCGCCAU
Molecule: transfer RNA, 75 nt
Filed under: Chloroflexi bacterium ADurb.Bin180
Lineage: Bacteria; Bacillati; Chloroflexota
Description: tRNA-Met
Rfam family: tRNA
About the family: Transfer RNA (tRNA) molecules are approximately 80 nucleotides in length. Their secondary structure includes four short double-helical elements and three loops (D, anti-codon, and T loops).
Source: RNAcentral